UUGCCAGCAGCCGCGGUAAUACCGGCAGCCCGAGUGAUGACCGAUCUUAUUGGGCCUAAAGCGUCCGUAGCUGGCUACGCAAGUCCGUCGGGAAAUCCACUCGCCCAACGAGUGGGCGUCCGACGGAAACUGCAUAGCUUGGGACCGGAAGGCUCGAAGGGUACGUGCGGGGUAGGAGUGAAAUCCCAUAAUCCCGCACGGACCACCGAUGGCGAAAGCACUUCGAGAAAACGGAUCCGACAGUGAGGGACGAAAGCCAGGGUCUCCAACUGGAUUAGAUACCCUAGUAGUCC
This 293-nucleotide ribosomal RNA is filed under the name uncultured bacterium. RNAcentral describes it as "partial 16S ribosomal RNA". It matches the Rfam family "Archaeal small subunit ribosomal RNA", at positions 455 to 747 of the family's 1478-position model. The record is from RNAcentral.